This 131-nucleotide non-coding RNA is filed under the name unclassified sequences. RNAcentral describes it as "Betaproteobacteria-1 RNA". It matches the Rfam family "Betaproteobacteria-1 RNA". The record is from Rfam by way of RNAcentral.
GACCAGAGUACGGGCGGGCUUUACAGCGUCAACAGCGUCCUGGUUGAGUAGCGGCACUGGUGGGAAAGGGUCUGCAACACCGCGCAGAUGGAUGGGGUAGAUAGCGUCCAUGGCCCGAACGGCUGUCAAAG